AUAUGGAACUCCCGUAUAAUUAUAUGCAUAAUUGCCGCCCCAUAAGGGGCGGUUCUUAGUCCGCCAGGCGUGAAUGAAAAGAUUUUUUUGCUGAGCGAAAUCUUGCGUUUCGUGCUGUGCUACUUGAUUUCGUGUAAACAAACUACUUAAGUAGUACAGCUUCGAAGUAGCACAAACUUUAAAAUAAACGAAUAGAACCUAAGAAAAAUUAAUUGUGAAGCUGUACUUAAAAGCCAGGUUUCUGACAUCAAACUGUCAUGGCGGCGACCAAUAGAUUUGAGUGAGUAUCACUGUGUAACUGGCAAUGCGAUGAUGACAGUGAUCUGGAAGAAUCUUUUAAUGAUGACAACCUUAUACAUUCUUGCAUUACAUAGCUGUGAAAAAUACUUUGUUGAUAAUGUUGAUAGCUAGCUAGAUCAAUUUCCAUGAUGGUGGACUCAUCAUUUGCAUACUGCUUAAAAAGCCUACACCCUGGAAUUAGCUAGCUAUAUGUCUAUGUAAUAAUCAAAAGAAGGAUAAAUUUAAUGGAGAUCCUAACUCGAAAUAUAAAGGACGUACUUGUAAAUGAAUAAAGGAAAAGUCCUUCUGAUACGUUACAACCAGUAAACCACAAUGUUUUUUAGCUUAAAGUUGCAGAAAAACUUGCCACCAUGAACAUGAACUGAUGCAUAUAUCUAUAGAUUUUGUUUUUGCAGAUUUUAUAGAUUAUGCCUUUCAAUUUUUUAACCUAUAAAUUUGAUUUAAAAAUAAUAAUGCUGCAGGUCUAUAGUAGACCUGGAGUUUUAAUAUUUUUAAAGUAAUCGUUGGCCUGAUUUUUUUUUAUAUUUUUAUUUUGUAUAAUAUAUACUUUUACAUUUUUUAUGCGUGUGUCUGAACAAAGUGUUAUUUUGUCCUAAAAUCUUAUUUUUUGAUUGGGAUUUUUUAAUUUCUUUUUUAAAUGAAUAUUUGUAAAGUUUUAUUUUAAAUGCUUCACAGACUGCAUUUGAAACAUUUUGACAGUAUCAAUUGUGCAUGAAAACAGUAUAAAUAUAAUCCAAUUUAUAGUGAGGUAGAACGUAGCAAAAAAUUCAGCCGUAUCACUGUAUAUAAUACUGUGCGAAAUAAUUCUUUAAAAAACUUAACUGGAAAUAUUUUCUUAUUCUUUCCGGAUCUUAAUAGUUAUAGACUGUUUGCUGCUCUUGAAAAAAUCCACUAGAAACAAAAUCAAAUGUGCAUGUAACUUCCAGAUUUAAACCUAGCAUGCAGAGUUAGAAUGUGCACACGUGAUAAGAUAAAACGCACUGAUUAUCCUUUCAUUGUGCACUUCGCCUGUUGGUGCAACCUCAACCCCAGGGUUUAUAAAAAGAGAACGAGCCCUGGGGUCAAGGUUGGUGUUGGGGCUAAUCAUCGCUUUGGAAAAUAAGGGGUGGCAUAUGCAUCAGCUUUGAAAGAACAACUGUGGUAUCAUGGUAAACAAGGGCGGCAAGUAGUUGCAACUAUAUACUAGUAAUAUUUUUUAGAUAGUUUACUUUCACCAUCGAUAAAUAUAUAAAUGUUGUCGUAUAAAAAAUCAUUAAAAAAAAUUAAAGUUAAGGAGUAUUCCAACCUCGUCCCCAGGGUCUUGUGACCCCUGAGCCGUUAUUACGGAGUGGCCAACAAUGACCCUGGAACAGGCAGGUCAUGUGACAAAAAAUGCCCAGAUAUACUGGGCAUUUUUUAAAAACCAAAGAUAAUGAGAUGCAAAUUUGGCGCUCGCCUUCCAAGCCAGAUGGCGGGCGAAAAAAGACACAACGUUAAAGAAACUAUUUUGUUGAUAAAAGCAAAAUUGUCAGAAUAUUACUGACGUAACGUCUAUUAAUCUCGCUUAGCUUGAUUGUUCAAUAUUGGCGAAGGGCUUUUAGUUUAGAAAAUGUUUUGAAAGUUUGUUUCCAUUAAAAUUCAUGAGCUCUAGCUAGCUAGCUGGGCUGUGCUGGAAUGUCACGUUAGCUGCCUAGCUAGCUAACGUGACAUCCUGAGACAGCUUUACUCAACCAAAUAUUUAUAAAGGACAUGUUAAAUGGCUAUUAUUUUCUAAGUGGGUGAUUUUGUUAAGAACACGGUACAAGUUGUAGGAGAAGAUCUGGGGACUCUAGUUGCACACAGAUUUUCUAAUAUGCACAACAAAUUUUUGCUAUUUUUUAAAAUCAAAACUAAGAAUGACAGGUUGUAGUGCUAAAUUUAUGGAUUAUUUUUGCAGAUUCAUAUUUAGAGAUUUUGCAAAAUCUUAUUUUGUAAAAGGGACAAUAUUUGAUAUCAUUAAACUAUAUAAAUAAUAGGUUCA
Hydractinia symbiolongicarpus is the source of this 2299-nucleotide long non-coding RNA. RefSeq lists it as uncharacterized. The transcript has 2 exons. The record is from RefSeq and is a predicted model, not a curated record. Lineage: Eukaryota; Metazoa; Cnidaria; Hydrozoa; Anthoathecata; Hydractiniidae.